Molecule: ribosomal RNA, 443 nt
Filed under: uncultured bacterium
Lineage: Bacteria
Description: partial 16S ribosomal RNA
Rfam family: Bacterial small subunit ribosomal RNA
Source: RNAcentral
ACUACGGGAGGCAGCAGUGGGGAAUAUUGCACAAUGGGCGAAAGCCUGAUGCAGCAACGCCGCGUGAAGGAAGAAGGGUUUCGGCUCGUAAACUUCUAUCAACAGGGACGAAAGAAAUAACGGUACCGGAAUAAGAAGCCCGGGCUACCUCCGUGCCAGCAGCAGCGGUAAUACGGAGGGGGCAAGCGUUAUCCGGAAUUACGGGGUGUAAAGGGUGAGUAGGCGGCAUGGUAAGUCAGAUGUGAAAGACUUGGGCUUAACCCGAGGAUUGCAUUUGGAACUAUCAAUCUAGAGUACAGGAGAGGAAAGCGGAAUUUCUAGUGUAGCGGUGAAAUGCGUAGAUAUUAGGAAGAACACCAGUGGCGAAGGCGGCUUUCUGGACUGAAACUGACGCUGAGGCACGAAAGCGUGGGGAGCGAACAGGAUUAGAUACCCGAGUAGUC